Molecule: ribosomal RNA, 522 nt
Filed under: Colletotrichum nymphaeae
Lineage: Eukaryota; Fungi; Ascomycota; Sordariomycetes; Glomerellales; Glomerellaceae
Description: eukaryotic LSU rRNA
Rfam family: 5.8S ribosomal RNA (bases 164-317)
Source: RNAcentral
CCCUUUGUGAGCAUACCUAACCGUUGCUUCGGCGGGCAGGGGAAGCCUCUCGCGGGCCUCCCCUCCCGGCGCCGGCCCCCACCACGGGGACGGGGCGCCCGCCGGAGGAAACCAAACUCUAUUUACACGACGUCUCUUCUGAGUGGCACAAGCAAAUAAUUAAAACUUUUAACAACGGAUCUCUUGGUUCUGGCAUCGAUGAAGAACGCAGCGAAAUGCGAUAAGUAAUGUGAAUUGCAGAAUUCAGUGAAUCAUCGAAUCUUUGAACGCACAUUGCGCUCGCCAGCAUUCUGGCGAGCAUGCCUGUUCGAGCGUCAUUUCAACCCUCAAGCACCGCUUGGUUUUGGGGCCCCACGGCACACGUGGGCCCUUAAAGGUAGUGGCGGACCCUCCCGGAGCCUCCUUUGCGUAGUAACUAACGUCUCGCACUGGGAUUCGGAGGGACUCUUGCCGUAAAACCCCCAAAUUUUUUACAGGUUGACCUCGGAUCAGGUAGGAAUACCCGCUGAACUUAAGCAUAUC